RNAcentral lists this small RNA (29 nucleotides) under Bombyx mori (domestic silkworm). RNAcentral's name for it is "ovarian small RNA-28190". Lineage: Eukaryota; Metazoa; Arthropoda; Insecta; Lepidoptera; Bombycidae. The record is from RNAcentral.
UCGAAGCCCAUUUGGAUCGCGGACAUCGA